UACGUAGGGUGCAAGCGUUGUCCGGAAUUAUUGGGCGUAAAGAGCUCGUAGGCGGUUUGUUGCGUCGGCUGUGAAAUCCCGAGGCUCAACCUCGGGUCUGCAGUCGAUACGAGCAAACUAGAGUGUUGCAGGGGAGACUGUAAUUCCUGGUGUAGCGGUGAAAUGCGCAGAUAUCAGGAGGAACACCGGUGGCGAAGGCGGGUCUCUGGGCAACAACUGACGCUGAGGAGCGAAAGCGUGGGGAGCGAACAGG
RNAcentral lists this ribosomal RNA (253 nucleotides) under uncultured bacterium. Its description in RNAcentral is "partial 16S ribosomal RNA". It matches the Rfam family "Bacterial small subunit ribosomal RNA", at positions 524 to 776 of the family's 1533-position model. The record is from RNAcentral.